This 440-nucleotide ribosomal RNA is filed under the name uncultured bacterium. RNAcentral's name for it is "bacterial SSU rRNA". It matches the Rfam family "Bacterial small subunit ribosomal RNA", at positions 338 to 795 of the family's 1533-position model. The record is from RNAcentral.
CCUACGGGUGGCACCAGUGGGGAAUUUUCCGCAAUGGGCGCAAGCCUGAUCCAGCCAUGCCGCGUGAGUGAAGAAGGCCUUAGGGUUGUAAAGCUCUUUCACCGGUGAAGAUAAUGACGAUAACCGGAGAAGAAGCCCCGGCUAACUUCGUGCCAGCAGCCGCGGUAAUACGAAGGGGGCUAGCGUUGUUCGGAAUUACUGGGCGUAAAGCGCGCGUAGGCGGAUAGAUAAGUCAGAGGUGAAAUCCCGGGGCUCAACCCCGGAAUUGCCUUUGAUACUGUUUAUCUUGAGUGCAGAAGAGGUAAGUGGAAUUCCGAGUGUAGAGGUGAAAUUCGUAGAUAUUCGGAGGAACACCAGUGGCGAAGGCGGCUUACUGGUCUGCAACUGACGCUGAGGCGCGAAAGCGUGGGGAGCAAACAGGAUUAGAUACCCUUGUAGUC